CCUACGGGUGGCAGCAGUGGGGAAUAUUGCGCAAUGGGCGAAAGCCUGACGCAGCGACGCCGCGUGAGGGAUGAAGGUCUUCGGAUCGUAAACCUCUGUCAGCAGGGAAGAACGGUCACUGUGCUAAUCAGCAGUGAAUUGACGGUACCUGCAAAGGAAGCACCGGCUAACUCCGUGCCAGCAGCCGCGGUAAUACGGAGGGUGCGAGAGUUAAUCGGAAUUACUGGGCGUAAAGCGCUCGUAGGCGGUAUGUCAAGUCAAGGGUGAAAUCCCCGCGCUCAACGUGGGAACUGCUUUUGAAACUGGCAAACUGGAGUGUGUGAGAGGAUAGUGGAAUUCCAGGUGGAGGAGUGAAAGCCGUAGAUAUCUGGAGGAACAUCAGUGGCGAAGGCGACUAUCUGGCACAUAACUGACGCUGAGGAGCGAAAGCGUGGGUAGCAAACAGGAUUAGAUACCCUUGUAGUC
RNAcentral lists this ribosomal RNA (465 nucleotides) under uncultured bacterium. RNAcentral's name for it is "partial 16S ribosomal RNA". It matches the Rfam family "Bacterial small subunit ribosomal RNA", at positions 338 to 795 of the family's 1533-position model. The record is from RNAcentral.